CCUACGGGAGACAGCAGUGGGGAAUAUUGCACAAUGGGGGAAACCCUGAUGCAGCGACGCCGCGUGAGUGAAGAAGUACUUCGGUAUGUAAAGCUCUAUCAGCAGGGAAGAAACUGACGGUACCUGAUUAAGAAGCCCCGGCGAACUACGUGCCAGCAGCCGCGGUUAUACGGAGGGGGCAAGCGUUAUCCGGAUUUCCUGGGGGUAAAGGGAGCGUAGACGGCAGCACAAGGCUGGAGUGAAAUGCCGGGGCUUAACCCCGGAACUGCAUUGGAAACUGUGCAGCUAGAGUGCAGGAGAGGUAAGGGGAAUUCCUAGUGUAGCGGUGAAAUGCGUAGAUAUUAGGAGGAACACCAGUGGCGAAGGCGGCUUACUGGACUGUAACUGACGUUGAGGCUCGAAAGCGUGGGGAGCAAACAGGAUUAGAUACCCCAGUAGUC
Molecule: ribosomal RNA, 440 nt
Filed under: uncultured bacterium
Lineage: Bacteria
Description: partial 16S ribosomal RNA
Rfam family: Bacterial small subunit ribosomal RNA
Source: RNAcentral